This 305-nucleotide ribosomal RNA is filed under the name uncultured bacterium. Its description in RNAcentral is "bacterial SSU rRNA". It matches the Rfam family "Bacterial small subunit ribosomal RNA", at positions 337 to 635 of the family's 1533-position model. The record is from RNAcentral.
ACCUACGGGGGGCAGCAGUAGGGAAUUUUCGUCAAUGGGCGCAAGCCUGAACGAGCAAUGCCGCGUGAACGAGGAAGGUCUUCGGAUCGUAAAGUUCUGUUGAAGGGGAAAAAGAGCGGAGAGAGGAAAUGGUCUCCGAUUGAUAUUACCCUUCGAGGAAGUCACGGCUAACUACGUGCCAGCAGCCGCGGUAAUACGUAGGUGGCGAGCGUUAUCCAGAAUGAUUGGGCGUAAAGGGUGCGUAGGCGGCCUGCUAAGUCUGGAGUGAAAGGUACCGGCUCAACCGGUACAGGCUCUGGAAACUG